UCUCCGUAGGUGAACCUGCGGAGGGAUCAUUACAGAGUUCAUGCCCUUCCGAGUAGCUCUCCCACCCUGUGUCAUCGUCACCUGUGUGGCUUUGGCGGGCCGCCCAGGCCUUGGCCGGGCUACCGGCUCCGGCUGGUACGCGCCCGCUAGAGCACUUUAAUCUCUUUGAUAUCAGUGUCGUCUGAGUACUAGGUAAUAGUUAAAACUUUCAACAACGGAUCUCUUGGUUCUG
This 232-nucleotide unclassified non-coding RNA is filed under the name plant metagenome. Its description in RNAcentral is "partial contains small subunit ribosomal RNA, internal transcribed spacer 1, and 5.8S ribosomal RNA". The record is from RNAcentral.